This is a transfer RNA of Bartonella bacilliformis KC583, 72 nucleotides long. It matches the Rfam family "tRNA". From Rfam's summary of the family: Transfer RNA (tRNA) molecules are approximately 80 nucleotides in length. Their secondary structure includes four short double-helical elements and three loops (D, anti-codon, and T loops). The record is from Rfam. NCBI's taxonomy places the organism in Bacteria, Pseudomonadati, Pseudomonadota, Alphaproteobacteria, Hyphomicrobiales, Bartonellaceae.
UCCUCGGUAGCUCAGCGGUAGAGCAACCGGCUGUUAACCGGUUGGUCGCUGGUUCGAAUCCGGCCCGGGGAG